RNAcentral lists this ribosomal RNA (434 nucleotides) under uncultured Oscillospiraceae bacterium. RNAcentral's name for it is "bacterial SSU rRNA". It matches the Rfam family "Bacterial small subunit ribosomal RNA", at positions 341 to 792 of the family's 1533-position model. Lineage: Bacteria; Bacillati; Bacillota; Clostridia; Eubacteriales; Oscillospiraceae. The record is from RNAcentral.
ACGGGAGGCAGCAGUGAGGAAUAUUAGGCAAUGGAGUAAACUCUGACCUAGCGACGCCGCGUGAAGGAAGAAGGUUUUCGGAUUGUAAACUUCUUUUAUGAGGGACGAUAAUGACGGUACCUCAUGAAUAAGCCACGGCUAACUACGUGCCAGCAGCCGCGGUAAUACGUAGGUGGCAAGCUUUGUCCGGAUUUACUUUGUGUAAAGGGCGAGUAGGCGGGCUUGCAAGUCAGAUGUGAAAUACCGGGGCUCAAAUCCGGGGCUGCAUUUGAAACUGUAAGUCUUGAGUGAUGGAGAGGCAGACGGAAUUCAAAGUGUAGCGGUAAAAUGCAUAGAGAUUGGGAAGAACACCAGUGGAGAAGGCGGUCUGCUGGACAGUAACUGACGCGGAGGAGAGAAAGUGUGGGGAGCAAACAGGAUUAGAUACCCUGGUA